Molecule: microRNA precursor, 91 nt
Filed under: Cricetulus griseus (Chinese hamster)
Lineage: Eukaryota; Metazoa; Chordata; Mammalia; Rodentia; Cricetidae
Description: mir-245
Source: RNAcentral
UUAUACAGUUUACUAAUAAUAAUUUUAAUUAUUUUGUUCAAAAAAUAUCCUUUACAGAAAUAUCAAAUUUAUUUCAAAAGACAUGUUUGAU